Molecule: long non-coding RNA, 1216 nt
Organism: Solenopsis invicta (red fire ant)
Lineage: Eukaryota; Metazoa; Arthropoda; Insecta; Hymenoptera; Formicidae
Exons: 2
Source: RefSeq, a predicted model, not a curated record
AAAUAAUAAUAAUAAAUUGUAAGUAAUAAUUAUUAAUCAACAAUGUUACAAAAAAUAUUCUUAAUCUUUACCGCAUUAAAUUAUUUACAAUGAUAUUAAUAAUAAUACAUUCGCCACAUUUAGUAAAUCAAAACUACUUUUUCUAUCUUUUCACGAUUUUAAUUUUGAUUAACUAUAUUUCUCGCAAUCGAGCAGCUAAUCAAAGUUACAUCGCAAUGAUCCAAAAAACGAGUUCAGCGAGCGUGAUAAAAAAAGUAGGAAACGUAAUCUCAAAUCGUAUUAAAUUCGACUCUAUCUCAAAUCAAAUCUGCGCAAUAAUGUCGAUACUCCCGUAUGCAGCUCGGCGGUAUUACCGUCAGCUUCGUACAUAAAUAUCGAGAUAUAAAAUACCAGUUCCAUUGUAGCCGCCCGCAUAUUACAGAAUGCGCAUUUGGAACUAAAGUAUGUUCAUGGGCGUCGUUCGCGUCGUUCGUGCGCGGAAAUCGCGAUAUCCAUCACGCGAGUGCGCAUCGGCCAUUUGAGGAUUAAAUUUCGAACACGCGUUCAUCCAAUGUCAGUGUAUGAUGAUCGAGCGUGCAACAAGUUUUCGCUGUGUCUGCGAUCGCUCGAGCGUUUUCAUCGAUUUUGGCCGCGAUCCCAUCACGAAGAUAGGUUAAACCAUCGUAUUCGCGAUCAGCGUUCGAAAUCGCGACGUUUUGCAGUUUAGAGCAACAUAAAGUCUGAGAUCCCGAGAGUAGGAAAGAUAGUCCAAUAACUCCCUUUUUGCCAAAAAUUACUUCACAAUGACGUCCGAAUGCGUGAAUAUAUUGUCGUGCAGAAGACAUGCCAACUACCCGCGGUCAGCAAAGUUUGGUCACGUAUGUCGAAUUCUCAGCAGUGCCGCUCCAUCAGUUGUACUUUUGCCGAGUUUACAAUAGAACUUGAUGUUUGUGCGCUGCUCCAAUUUUAAUGCUUUCGGCAUGAUGCUGCUAUGCACAUGCACGCGGAAAACAGAGAAAAAUUGUUAGUACAUUAUUAAUCACAAUUGAUUCUGACGAAGUUUCACGCACAAUUAAAGAAUUAAUUAUCUCAGCUAUUAUAUAUGUAAAAAUAUUAUCAUCCCAAAGUGCACGACCUCAACGUUACCAGUCUCAAAACUUUUUUAUAUAUAAUAUUCGUAUACGUUCUCGUAUAUUAUCUCCUAAAAAUAUAAAAAUAAAAAUGACUGUAACUACUA